UAUGUGAAGGGGUGGGGUUGGGGAGAGUAGGGGUUGAAUUUUUAAUUAUUUUUUGUAUGGAGUAGGGGUAGGUGGGUUAAUAGGGGUGGAGUGAGAAAUAAUAUAAUAUUGUUAGAGUAUUUCCAUUUUUAGAAACAGGUCAAGUAUUAAGGGACGGCCCGAUAAGGAAAACAGGUCAAGUAUUCCGGGACGGAGGGAGUAGUUAAGAAGCUCUUCUUCCUUAAUUGUUGCUCAGCCUCAACAAUCGUCUCCAGCGGUUAAUUCGGACUCGGAGCUCAGAAAGAACGAACCAAGGACAAAGCUUAACGUAACGCGGAAUUAAGGUACUGCGGGGAUCAAUGGAGACGAGUAGUGGC
This is a long non-coding RNA of Spinacia oleracea (spinach), 356 nucleotides long. RefSeq lists it as uncharacterized. The record is from RefSeq and is a predicted model, not a curated record. Lineage: Eukaryota; Viridiplantae; Streptophyta; Magnoliopsida; Caryophyllales; Amaranthaceae. The transcript has 3 exons.